UUUUUAUGAGAGUUUGAUCCUGGCUCAGGACGAACGCUGGCGGCGUGCCUAAUACAUGCAAGUCGAACGCUUCUUUUUCCAACGGAGCUUGCUCCACCGGAAAAAGAAGAGUGGCGAACGGGUGAGUAACACGUGGGUAACCUGCCCAUCAGAAGGGGAUAACACUUGGAAACAGGUGCUAAUACCGUAUAACAAUCAAACCCGCAU
RNAcentral lists this ribosomal RNA (207 nucleotides) under Enterococcus faecium. RNAcentral's name for it is "partial 16S ribosomal RNA". It matches the Rfam family "Bacterial small subunit ribosomal RNA", at positions 1 to 191 of the family's 1533-position model. Lineage: Bacteria; Bacillati; Bacillota; Bacilli; Lactobacillales; Enterococcaceae. The record is from RNAcentral.